UUAGCUUUUGGAUAUAUAGUUUUUAUAUUUCAGGUAAAAUAUAAUUAUUUAAAUUUAGCUACCAGAUUUUUAAAAAUUUUAUUUUAUUAUCUAAUUUUUUAUUUGUUUGAUUUGAGUCAGUUAAUAAUAUUUUGACUUUAAAAUUUAAUAAAUUUAUAGUUAUGAGAAUCGUAUAAAAUAUACUAAGUAAAUCUGUCAUAAUAAACAAUCAAUUUAAAAUUAAAAGCCAAAAUAUUAUCGACUGAUUCAAAUCAAACAAAUUUAAAAAUUUAAUAGCAAAAUCUAAAUAAUCGGUAGUUCAAAUAAGUUUCUUGCAAUUUUAAUUAUAUUUUAUAGCAUUUAGCCUUUGAACUUUCAAAUUUUAGUUUUAUUUUGACG
Molecule: long non-coding RNA, 378 nt
Filed under: Ananas comosus (pineapple)
Lineage: Eukaryota; Viridiplantae; Streptophyta; Magnoliopsida; Poales; Bromeliaceae
Description: long non-coding RNA (ACOM_LNC021849)
Source: RNAcentral